RNAcentral lists this ribosomal RNA (491 nucleotides) under uncultured bacterium. Its description in RNAcentral is "partial 16S ribosomal RNA". It matches the Rfam family "Bacterial small subunit ribosomal RNA", at positions 29 to 506 of the family's 1533-position model. The record is from RNAcentral.
AGUGAACGCUGGCGGUAGGCCUAACACAUGCAAGUCGAACGGCAGCACAGUAAGAGCUUGCUCUUACGGGUGGCGAGUGGCGGACGGGUGAGGAAUACAUCGGAAUCUACUUUUUCGUGGGGGAUAACGUAGGGAAACUUACGCUAAUACCGCAUACGACCUACGGGUGAAAGCAGGGGAUCUUCGGACCUUGCGCGAUUGAAUGAGCCGAUGUCGGAUUAGCUAGUUGGCGGGGUAAAGGCCCACCAAGGCGACGAUCCGUAGCUGGUCUGAGAGGAUGAUCAGCCACACUGGAACUGAGAAACGGUCCAGACCCCUACGGGAGGAAGCAGUGGGGAAUAUUGGAAAAGGGGCGCAAGCCUGACCCAGCCAUACCGCGUGGGUGAAGAAGGCCUUGGGGUUGUAAAGCCCUUUUUUGGGGAAAGAAAAGCAGCAGGUUAAUCCCCCGCUUUUCUGGCGGGACCCAAAGAAUAAGCACCGGCGAACUUCGU